UACGUAGGCAGCAAGCGUUGUUCGGAAUUACUGGGCGUAAAGAGUGUGUAGGCGGUGCUCCAAGUCUGGUGUGAAAUCUCCCGGCCUCAACUGGGAGGGUGCGCUAGAAACUGGAAUGCUAGAGGAUGGGAGAGGUAAGCGGAAGUUCCUGGUGUAGCGGUGAAAUGCGCAGAUAUCAGGAGGAACACCGGUGGCGAAGGCGGGUCUCUGGGCCGAUACUGACGCUGAGGAGCGAAAGCGUGGGGAGCGAACAGG
RNAcentral lists this ribosomal RNA (255 nucleotides) under uncultured bacterium. RNAcentral's name for it is "partial 16S ribosomal RNA". It matches the Rfam family "Bacterial small subunit ribosomal RNA", at positions 524 to 776 of the family's 1533-position model. The record is from RNAcentral.